RNAcentral lists this transfer RNA (75 nucleotides) under Bacillus cereus. RNAcentral describes it as "tRNA-Glu". It matches the Rfam family "tRNA". From Rfam's summary of the family: Transfer RNA (tRNA) molecules are approximately 80 nucleotides in length. Their secondary structure includes four short double-helical elements and three loops (D, anti-codon, and T loops). Lineage: Bacteria; Bacillati; Bacillota; Bacilli; Caryophanales; Bacillaceae. RNAcentral also lists the same sequence under 1 other name. The record is from RNAcentral.
GGCCCGUUGGUCAAGUGGUUAAGACACCGCCCUUUCACGGCGGUAACACGGGUUCGAAUCCCGUACGGGCCACCA